Molecule: non-coding RNA, 86 nt
Organism: Schizothecium vesticola
Lineage: Eukaryota; Fungi; Ascomycota; Sordariomycetes; Sordariales; Schizotheciaceae
Source: the annotation of a GenBank genome assembly
UCCCCGGUGGCGCAAUUGGCUAGCGCGUCAGACUGUUAUGUACACAUAUCAUCUGGAGGCUGAAAGUUCGACCCUUUCCCGGGGAG